Molecule: ribosomal RNA, 838 nt
Filed under: Fusarium solani
Lineage: Eukaryota; Fungi; Ascomycota; Sordariomycetes; Hypocreales; Nectriaceae
Description: partial large subunit ribosomal RNA
Rfam family: Eukaryotic large subunit ribosomal RNA
Source: RNAcentral
CAGGGAUUGCCCCAGUAACGGCGAGUGAAGCGGCAACAGCUCAAAUUUGAAAUCUGGCUCUCGGGCCCGAGUUGUAAUUUGUAGAGGAUGCUUUUGGUGAGGUGCCUUCCGAGUUUCCUGGAACGGGACGCCAUAGAGGGUGAGAGCCCCGUCUGGUUGGACACCGAUCCUCUGUAAAGCUCCUUCGACGAGUCGAGUAGUUUGGGAAUGCUGCUCUAAAUGGGAGGUAUAUGUCUUCUAAAGCUAAAUACCGGCCAGAGACCGAUAGCGCACAAGUAGAGUGAUCGAAAGAUGAAAAGAACUUUGAAAAGAGAGUUAAACAGUACGUGAAAUUGUUGAAAGGGAAGCGCUUGUGACCAGACUUGGGCUUGGUUGAUCAUCCGGGGUUCUCCCCGGUGCACUCUUCCGGCUCAGGCCAGCAUCAGUUCGCCCUGGGGGAUAAAGGCUUCGGGAAUGUGGCUCUCUCCGGGGAGUGUUAUAGCCCGCUGCGUAAUACCCUGUGGCGGACUGAGGUUCGCGCAUUCGCAAGGAUGCUGGCGUAAUGGUCAUCAGUGACCCGUCUUGAAACACGGACCAAGGAGUCGUCUUCGUAUGCGAGUGUUCGGGUGUCAAACCCCUACGCGAAAUGAAAGUGAACGCAGGUGAGAGCUUCGGCGCAUCAUCGACCGAUCCUGAUGUUAUCGGAUGGAUUUGAGUAAGAGCAUACGGGGCCGGACCCGAAAGAAGGUGAACUAUGCCUGUGUAGGGUGAAGCCAGAGGAAACUCUGGUGGAGGCUCGCAGCGGUUCUGACGUGCAAAUCGAUCGUCAAACAUGGGCAUGGGGGCGAAAGACUAAUCG